This 393-nucleotide ribosomal RNA is filed under the name uncultured bacterium. RNAcentral's name for it is "partial 16S ribosomal RNA". It matches the Rfam family "Bacterial small subunit ribosomal RNA", at positions 523 to 918 of the family's 1533-position model. The record is from RNAcentral.
AUACGGAAGGUGCGAGCGUUAUCCGGAUUCAUUGGGUUUAAAGGGAGCGUAGGCGGAGCGCCAAGUCAGCUGUGAAAUCCCGCUGCUCAACCGUGGAACUGCAGUUGAAACUGGCGCCCUUGAGUGCACAUGAGGAUGGCGGAAUUCGUGGUGUAGCGGUGAAAUGCUUAGAUAUCACGAAGAACCCCCAUUGCGAACGCAGCUGUCCGGGUGGCCACUGACGAUGAGGCUCGAAAGUGCGGGUAUCAAACAGUAAUAGAUUCCCUGGUUAUGCGCACAGUAAACGAUGGACACUCGUGUUCGGUGACACACUGCCGGUCAUCCAGCGAAAGCGAUAAGUGUCCCACCUGGGGAGUUCGCCGGCAACGGUGAAACUCAAAUGAAUUGACGGGG